CUAUGCUCUCUUCGGAUUUCCCUGGGCAUUCAUGGUUUGGAUCUAUAAGGCCUUUCCUCAUCUUGAAAAUUUUGCUGGAAAAUCAAUGGAUGAGCCCUUUCCCAUUCCCCGCAUCCUCAGAUGGCACACUACAAAAAGUGACCAAAUAAUCAAAGGCGACCCAUUCAAGUACAAAGAAAAAGUUACCAAGAACGUGCACCCGUACAUCAUCCCUACUCUUCGUGAGAUGAAGAUAGACUACAUGAUUACCUUUGAGCCAUAUACGGACGAGGUAAAGAAUAAUUUCCUUGAUGGUUUAAAGAAGAUUUAGAAGAGGUGACUGGCUUUAUUUCAAAUGAGGACAGUGAUGAUGACGAGGAUAUGGGUUGUAACCCCAUUGAAGUACGCAUUGGUGAUGAUGAUACUCCAAGUACCUCUAAAGAUGCAGUGGACACCUCAUCCCCCGAGGAUCUUCAUAAGUGUGUUGUUGUGCUCGAGGAAGCGGUGUUGGAUAUUGCUUCCUAUAUUAGAGAGAAAAGACUGAAGAAAAAAGAACAGGAUGAACGACAACACGAGUGAGUGCAUGUGGACCUUCGUGAAUCAGAGAGAAAUAAAGAAGGAUAAAAAAAGAGCAAAAUGGAUGAGUUGGCCUCUAUCGUGGCAGAAGAGGAAAAAGAAGAAGAAAAGAAGGAUGAUGAAGAAGAAGAAAUGGAAGAAGAUAAGAGCCAAGAAGAAAGCGUAAAAGAAAUAGCUGCAGUAGAAGAAGAAAAAGUUGAAAAAGAAGCAGCAACAGUUGAAGAAGAAGGCAAGGAAAAAUAAGGAGUUAUAGUUGAAGAAGCCAAGUAAAAAUAAGAAGCUAAAAAAAUAGGAGCAGCAGCUGAUGAAGAAGAAGAAGAAGGUGAGAAAGAAGCAGUUGUUGAAGGUGAAGGAAAAAAGGAAGGUGAGGAAGAAAAGGAAGGUGAAAAAAAAGCAGUUGUUGAAGGUGAAGGAAAAAAAAUGAGGAAGAAAAACAAGAUGGGUUCAGGGAUAUCGUUGAUAAAAUCAACAACACCUAUGCUGAUGAGGAGGAAUAUAGUGAAAAAAACAUUUGAAUUAUUUUAUUGUUAAUGUGUUGAAUGAUUUGUUUGGUAGGAUAUUUGAGACAUUCCCAUGUUUCAUAGAAUAUUUAUCUAAUAUUUCAUAUACUUCUUUCAUAGUCUAUCA
Long non-coding RNA from Capsicum annuum, 1182 nucleotides. RefSeq lists it as uncharacterized. The transcript has 4 exons. The record is from RefSeq and is a predicted model, not a curated record. Lineage: Eukaryota; Viridiplantae; Streptophyta; Magnoliopsida; Solanales; Solanaceae.